Molecule: ribosomal RNA, 552 nt
Filed under: Neogloboquadrina pachyderma
Lineage: Eukaryota; Foraminifera; Rotaliida; Globorotaliidae
Description: SSU rRNA
Rfam family: Eukaryotic small subunit ribosomal RNA
Source: RNAcentral
GCACCACAAGAACGCGUGGAGCAUGUGGCUUAAUUUGACUCAACGCGGGAAAUCUUACCGGGUCCGGACACACUGAGGAUUGACAGGCAAUAUCUUGGCUGUUUAAUAACCGUUUAUUAAUAAACGGUUUAUUAAACAGAUCGAGUGUUAAAUAUGCUAGUCCUUUCAUGAUUAUGUGAUAGGUGGUGCAUGGCCGUUCUUAGUUCGUGGAGUGAUCUGUCUGCUUAAUUGCGUUUCACUAAGGGCCCAUAAAUUCAAGGUAUGUUAGCAAUCGUCGCUCUAUGGACCCCUUAUUUCAGUUUAUUAAUAAACUGUUAUAAGCGCGCGUCUUGUUUAAAGAGUUUAAGACACUGCGCAUGCUGUUGGGCUCUGAAAGCAACGAACGUGACCGCAACGUCUUGUUGCCUUAAUCAAGUCGGCUGUUUAAUCUGUUUAAUUAAACAGACAGACAGCAGUCAUUAUAUGGCUUAUCCGAGGCUAUUUAAAACUAGACGAACCGCUGUUUCUUUUCUUAAACCAGAGGAAGGUUGCGGCAAUAACAGGUCUGUGAUG